This 72-nucleotide transfer RNA is filed under the name Cavia porcellus (domestic guinea pig). It matches the Rfam family "tRNA". From Rfam's summary of the family: Transfer RNA (tRNA) molecules are approximately 80 nucleotides in length. Their secondary structure includes four short double-helical elements and three loops (D, anti-codon, and T loops). Further hydrogen bonds mediate the characteristic L-shaped molecular structure. tRNAs have two regions of fundamental functional importance: the anti-codon, which is responsible for specific mRNA codon recognition, and the 3' end, to which the tRNAs corresponding amino acid is attached (by aminoacyl-tRNA synthetases). tRNAs cope with the degeneracy of the genetic code in two manners: having more than one tRNA (with a specific anti-codon) for a particular amino acid; and 'wobble' base-pairing, i.e. permitting non-standard base-pairing at the 3rd anti-codon position. The record is from Rfam by way of RNAcentral. Lineage: Eukaryota; Metazoa; Chordata; Mammalia; Rodentia; Caviidae.
AGGGAUUUAGCUCAGUGGUGCAGCAUCUGCCUGACAAGCAUGAGGUCCUGAGUUCACUUCCCAGUACCCCCA